RNAcentral lists this transfer RNA (71 nucleotides) under Candidatus Vidania fulgoroideorum. RNAcentral describes it as "beta proteobacterium endosymbiont of Hyalesthes obsoletus HO1-V tRNA". It matches the Rfam family "tRNA". Rfam says of the family: Transfer RNA (tRNA) molecules are approximately 80 nucleotides in length. Their secondary structure includes four short double-helical elements and three loops (D, anti-codon, and T loops). Lineage: Bacteria; Pseudomonadati; Pseudomonadota; Betaproteobacteria. The record is from Rfam by way of RNAcentral.
AGAAGUAUAUCUUAAAGGUAAAGUUUUGGUCUCCAAAACCAAAAAUAAAGGUUCAAUUCCUUUUACUUCUG